This 4077-nucleotide long non-coding RNA is filed under the name Mus musculus (house mouse). Its description in RNAcentral is "long non-coding RNA chr17:47459349-47463426". Lineage: Eukaryota; Metazoa; Chordata; Mammalia; Rodentia; Muridae. The record is from RNAcentral.
UUUAUUUAUUUAUUUAUUUAUUUAUUUAUUUAUUUGAUGUAAGUACCCUAUAGCUGUCCUCAGACACUCCAGAAGAGGGCAGAUCUCAUUACAGAUUUUUAGAAAAUAUAUUUUGUUUGCUUCUGAGCUUCUCAAGACCUGAGACAUUGUGUCCUUUUAUCCCCAAGUCCUCCCUGGGCACACUGCCUAAGGCUAGAGACUUUGCUAGUACUCAGGAAUGUAGUGUUGAUAAAAUACUGUUAUCUGGUAAGCUGUUUACAGCCAGUCACUGCCAACUGUCCUCAUUGCUCUUCCUGGUACACCCUCCCGACUUCAGCAUCAUACAGAGCCUGUGCUUGCACCUUAACGCCCUCCCUCCUCUGUGUGUGUAUAUGUGUGUUCAUGUAGGUGUAUGCAUGUUUGUGUGUGUGUGUGUGUGUGUGUGUCUGGGGUGAUGGGGAGGCUGCACACACAGUCUCAUUUGCCACCACAGGAUAUGUGUAGAAGUCAGAGGACAACCCUUCGUGUUGCACUUCACCUUCUGCUUGUUUGGUUUGAGACAGGUCUCUUGUUUCACUGUGCCAGGCUAGCUGGCCUGCACACUUCCCCUUCCAGGGACUCUCGCCUGCCCAUCUCUCAUCUCACCGUAGGAGUGCUGCCAUUACAGGCACUCACUAUGGCUUCCACCUUUAUGUGGGCUCUAGGGCUUGGAACAUAGGUCCCCAUGCUUACACUCUUUCCCCACUGCACCCUCUCACCAUCCCUGGACCCUCUUCUUCUUGAGGAUUUGCCUCAGUUCCCAGAGUCAGGAUGGCGAGACACUGAGCAACCAUGAAGGUGGUGCCCUACAAACCUGUACUGUCCACGCUGAACUGAUCACCCUCCGGGCUUGCGCUCUUGAUCCCAGCAGUCGGGGUCCCAUACGAAAGAGGGAAACUCCCCAUCUGUCUUUCUGAGGCUGAGAUUCAAAAGAGUUCGUAUUUGCCUCCUUUGCAGCGUGCUGGACACAGCCGCUAAGAGCCAACGCAGUGAGAUGUGAGAGGAAAAUGCAGGGGCUUGGGCAAGCCGAGGACCAUUUGGUUUGUACCUGGGAGAUGCUGGAGGGAUGAGGCUGGACUUCAGGGCUUCCUUGUGUGGGGGAAGAAUACUAAGGAGUCAGCCCAAGCCUGAGCCGCUCCCUAUUGCAAGUCACAUUGUGCUGGCUGUGCUGACAGGCUUCCGAGCUGCGGUCUGGGGAGGCUUGACUUGUUUGCAGUGUUGUAGGAUCGAAACGCCGGAUGUAUCUAAAACCCUGCACUCAGGAGGCUUCGGCAGGGGUUCAAGGCCUCCUUACCUGCAGAGUGAAACCCUGAACAUCUAAGGUUCAUCCGCAGCACCCCAAAACAAGCAAGCAGGCUGGGUAGUGGUGGCACACAACCUUAAUUCCAGCACUUGGAAGGCAGAAGGCAGGUGGAACUAUGAGUUUAAGGCCAGCCUGGUCUGCAUAAGGAGUUCCAACACAGCACACAGCCAGGGCUACACAGCAAACCUAUCUCAAAUAAAUAAAUAAAUAAAUAAACAAACAAAUAAAUAAAUAAAGCAAGCAAGGAUGUAAAGGGAGGGAGGGAUGGACGGACGGAAGAGGGAGGGGGAGAGAGAGGGAGAGGGAGGGAGGGAGAGAGAGAGAGAGCGCAAGUGCCCAGGACCCCAUGGAGCUUGGCUUUGCUGGUUUGGAGCUUUGUCUUGUUGGGGAAGACAUUAGAGGAUGACGGCCUGGGGCUGCGUUAUCUUUGUGAGUUUGUUUUACAUCUAAAGAGCAUUUUGCUUUCAUCUAUAUUUGUGCCUCCUAGUCUCUGCAUUUUAUGUGAAGAAAAUGGGUUUCAUGGAUAUGUAGAACAGGAAGAGUUGGGGUCCAGCGGGAAGGCUCACCUGUUAGGAACACUUGUUUUUACAGGGUGUGGGACUGGGUACCAGAAGUUUUCCACGGAGAUCUCUGUCCAGGCCAGGUAGGAAGGUUCCCGAGAAGGGAAGUGAGUCCAGGCAGAGAGAUGAGUCUCUGCCACGCCUUCCAGGUCGCUCCUUAACCGAGCCUCUCUGAACUGAGUCGGGUCAGGCUUGGCCGAUGAGAAGCCGACUAUCCAGUGAGGCGUGCAGUAGGACCUCGGGUGGCUCUUCGGGAGAGAAGAUCUCUUCCCAAGUGUUACAUAGACCUCUUGGAACAAAAGACUCAGAUGAAGGAAUAUUUCUCGCAUACCUUUAAUUCCCUGCAUGGACUUAUAUACAGUUCUGGGGGUGAUUCAGGGUUUGACAGCAGGCACCUCUCAUUGGCUUAGACUGAGAGUUUGGGGGAAACCUUAUUUGCGUGUAGGAAGGCUUGGUGCUGUUCCUACCCAAGUCUCUCCUGUGGGAGCUGUGGGGGCAGUAACUUCGACAGGAGUCAGGGGUCCAGGAGACAGGGGUUAGUUCUAACUCUCAAUCUGCAGGAGACUGCCUCACAAGGCCUACUUAGAGCAUAUGAGACCUCAAAGCCCAACUCCAUAGUCACACACCUCCUCCUCCGAAAAGGCCACACCUCCCAACAGUGCCACUCCCCAUGGACCAAGUAUUCAGAUAACUGAGUCUUUGGGGGCUGUGCCUAUUCAGAUCAUCACAGAUGGGUGCAUGGGUCCCUUCUGGGCUUAGCACAAGUUCACAGGUAGAGAUAACAGACCCGGGGGUGUUGAAGUAUUUUUCUCAGUCCUGUGGUGAGGUAGCAGGGCUGAUAACAUCAAGUCCAUUUGCUCCAAAGCCCCUUUACAAAGGGCAGCUGAGCUAGUCCUUAAAGGAAGGGCUGUGGUGAGGUGCAAUGUCCAGAGCCUGGGUCCAGCAGUGCCAGCUGUAGCUGUAUGUUUUAAAUUACUUCUGAGACAUUUCCGGAUGUCUUUUUCCUCACCCAGUACAUGCAGGGGACAUCUUUCUCAUCGAGUGGUGACGGAGAUGGUUUCGAGUAGGGCACAAGGAGCAUUCUUGGUAUUAUUAGAAACUAAUGGGAGGGGCACUGGGAUGUGGCUCCGUUGGCAGAGUGCUUGCCUCACAUGCACAGAGCCCUGGGUUUAAUCCUCAAUACCACAGAACCAGGUGUGGUGGUGGCAGCUGCCAUCACAGCAUUGGGGAGGUGAAGGCAGGAAAACCAGAAGUUCAGGGUCAUCUUCAGCUACAUAGUGACUCUGAAGCCAAGGACGGUGGCUUGAAGAAAAAUAAAGGAGAAAUAGAUGGCUUGCCCAACUCCAGGCCCAGGAAGCACGCAGACUGUGGUGGUGGGGAGACUGUUGGAUUAGAACAUAGACUGGUGUGCUAAGUGAGUGGGAAAGGAGAAUGGACUUGGGAGCCAGAGGCCAGGCCACUGAGACCCCUGAGAAGCACAUGUAGUGCUCUGCCAAGCUCCCAAAUGGCAGGUGUGUGCACUUUGUUGAUCUAUGGAAAUGUGUUGGGGGCAGGGGGGUGCGGAGAGAAUGCAAAAUAGACUCUCAGACAGACAGCUGUGCAAACACAGCUCUGUUUGGUUCAGGUGAGAGAUCAGAGACGCCUGCACUGCUUGCAGAGCCCUGCUUCAACACUUAGUUAUCUUCUGUAAAUUCCUGGUGAAGACCUGGAGUCAACUGGAGGUCGGGAGGCGGGUUCUUUGGGGCAGCUGAGUCACUGCAGGUUCUUUGUGUUAGGCUUGGGGACAGUCCCCAGGGGCUGGUUCUCUCCUUCCAUUCUGGGUCCCAGAGACCAGCUCAGCUCAGCCCAGGCCACCAGCGUUGGCAGCCAAGCACCUUUACCCUUUGAGACAUCUCACCAGCCCUCAUUUUGGCUUUUUUGGUUGGCUUUUGUUUUGUUUUGACUGGGCCUCACUGUAGCUGAGACUCAUGAUACAGACCGGGAUCACCUGAUAUGUGUGUGGCACGUGCCUGACUCCUUAGUUUGCUUUGAAUUGAGAUUCUUAUUCCGAUGUAGUUGAUCCUCGUCUUUGCUGGUUCUGUAUUUGCAAAUUUGAUCUGUAACUAACAUUGCUUUUGUGGUUGUUCUCAUACAUGCAUAAAGCAGAAAAACAAAAACAACCCUGAAUGGGAACCCCAAAGCAUGCAUUUCUAGCUG